RNAcentral lists this ribosomal RNA (1085 nucleotides) under uncultured organism. RNAcentral describes it as "bacterial SSU rRNA". It matches the Rfam family "Bacterial small subunit ribosomal RNA", at positions 36 to 1153 of the family's 1533-position model. The record is from RNAcentral.
CUGGCGGCAUGGCUAAGACAUGCAAGUCGAGGGAGAAGCGCCUUCGGGCGUGGACACCGGCGAAAGGGCGAGUAAUGCAUGGGAACGUACCCCGAGGUACGGGAUAGCGUCGGGAAACCGGCGGUAAUACCGUAUGAGCUCCACGGAGGAAAGCUUCGGCGCCUUGGGAGCGGCCCAUGUGCUAUCAGGUAGUUGGUGGGGUAAAGGCCUACCAAGCCGAAGACGGCUAGCGGGUGUGAGAGCACGACCCGCCGCAUCGGGACUGAGACACUGCCCGGACUCCUACGGGAGGCUGCAGUAACGAAUCUUCCGCAAUGCGCGAAAGCGUGACGGAGCAAUGCCGCGUGUGGGAUGAAGCUGCUUCGCAGUGUAAACCACUGUCAGGACCUAGGAAGAACUGACCGGGUCCAGAGGAAGGGCCGGCUAAUCUCGUGCCAGCAGCCGCGGUAAGACGAGAGGCCCAAGCGUUAGACGGAAUCACUGGGCUUAAAGGGUGCGUAGGCGGGCACGCAAGCAUCACGUGAAAUCCCUCGGCUCAACCGGGGAACUGCGCGGUGAACUGCGUGUCUUGAAGCGUGUAGGGGCCGCCGGAACGUACGGUGGAGCGGUGAAAUGCAUAGAUAUCGUACGGAACGUCGAUGGCGAAGGCGGGCGGCUGGGCACGACUUGACGCUGAGGCACGAAAGCGUGGGGAGCAAACAGGAUUAGAUACCCUGGUAGUCCACGCCGUAAACGAUGUGCGCUAGGUCGAUGCGGGUUUGGCCCCGUGUCGUCCGCAGAGAAAUCAUUAAGCGCACCGCCUGGGGAGUACGGUCGCAAGGCUAAAACUCAAAGGAAUUGACGGGGGCUCACACAAGCGGUGGAGCAUGUUGCUUAAUUCGAAGCAACGCGAAGAACCUUACCUGGGCUUGACAUGCACGGAUUAGCUCUUGGAAACAUGAGUGACGCCCUCGGGUGGAACGUGCACAGGUGCUGCAUGGCUGUCGUCAGCUCGUGCUGUGAAGUGUCGGGUUAAGUCCUUUAACGAGCGCAACCCCUAUCGCUAGUUGCCAGCGCGUCAUGGCGGGGACUCUAGCGAGACUGCC